This 563-nucleotide ribosomal RNA is filed under the name Aspergillus sp. 5Y. RNAcentral's name for it is "eukaryotic LSU rRNA". The stretch from base 179 to 332 matches the Rfam family "5.8S ribosomal RNA". Lineage: Eukaryota; Fungi; Ascomycota; Eurotiomycetes; Eurotiales; Aspergillaceae. The record is from RNAcentral.
UGACCUGCGGAAGGAUCAUUACCGAGUGCAGGUCUGCCCCCGGGCAGGCCUAACCUCCCACCCGUGAAUACCUGACCAACGUUGCUUCGGCGGUGCGCCCCCCCCGGGGGUAGCCGCCGGAGACCACACCGAACCUCCUGUCUUUAGUGUUGUCUGAGCUUGAUAGCAAACCUAUUAAAACUUUCAACAAUGGAUCUCUUGGUUCCGGCAUCGAUGAAGAACGCAGCGAACUGCGAUAAGUAAUGUGAAUUGCAGAAUUCAGUGAAUCAUCGAGUCUUUGAACGCACAUUGCGCCCCCUGGCAUUCCGGGGGGCAUGCCUGUCCGAGCGUCAUUGCUGCCCUUCAAGCCCGGCUUGUGUGUUGGGUCGUCGUCCCCCCCGGGGGACGGGCCCGAAAGGCAGCGGCGGCACCGCGUCCGGUCCUCGAGCGUAUGGGGCUUUGUCACCCGCUCGAUUAGGGCCGGCCGGGCGCCAGCCGGCGUCUCCAACCUUCUAUUUUACCAGGUUGACCUCGGAUCAGGUAGGGAUACCCGCUGAACUUAAGCAUAUCAAUAAGCGGAGGAA